CCAGGUCAGGCGGGGCCACCCGCUGAGU
Molecule: ribosomal RNA, 28 nt
Filed under: Aponogeton bruggenii
Lineage: Eukaryota; Viridiplantae; Streptophyta; Magnoliopsida; Alismatales; Aponogetonaceae
Description: partial 26S ribosomal RNA
Source: RNAcentral